This 375-nucleotide long non-coding RNA is filed under the name Ananas comosus (pineapple). Its description in RNAcentral is "long non-coding RNA (ACOM_LNC041412)". Lineage: Eukaryota; Viridiplantae; Streptophyta; Magnoliopsida; Poales; Bromeliaceae. The record is from RNAcentral.
AUGAUUUGUAAAAUCACAAAACUAUGAGAUGUGCGGUUAGGAUGAUGUAGGCUCCCUAGAGUUGAGUGGGUGGUUGGUUGCAGUAAGAUCUAACGGGUGAAAAUGAUCAAAAGGAUAGAUCUAACGGCGGAAAACUUGGAUCGAUAGCACGAAGUAUUUGGUGCUAUCACGUUUUCUGCCGUUAGAUUUACCUCUUUUAUCAUUUUUAAUCGUUUGAUUAUAGUAUUCAACUAACCACCCACUCAACCCUACGGGGCCUAUAUCAUCCUAACCGCACAUAUUUUAAUCCAAAGGCAGAAAACUUAAUAGCACCAAGUCAUUAGUGCUAUUAAUAGUAUUCCAACCUAGUUAUAUAUAUAUAUAUAUAUAUAUAUA